UUUAGUCUUUAUGUUUCCCUUAGUAGAUGCUCUCUAAUACCUGUCUGGUUGCAUAUAUUGCUUGGAACUACAGGCAGAGAGAGAUGCUGAUGAGAUUUACACCCAAACGACUCUUCAGCCGGUGAACUCUGACUGGCUAUUGGCUUGUAUUCCGGCAUCACAUAUGGCCUACAAGAAGCUCGGGGAGCUUAUGAUUGGGUGGGGCCCAUUUAGAAGUUAGGCAAGACCAUCCAUCAGCUGGGCCAGAGUACAAAAACCAAUGAACAGGCCCAAGUCUUGUUAGCAGACCACCCUUUGUUUAUUACACUGGUGUUGGCUUCUUACAGUGGCCCACAAAUCACAGCAAUUUCAAGUUACAUGCAAUGACUAAAGGAGUGAAUUUCCUGUAGAAAAACAGUGUGGUGGCAGGGGCGUUGACAGGAGCAGCAUUGGUGCUCACUUGCGAGGAUGCCUCUCAUGAGCAGGUUAUUCAUUACGCCAUCACUGGAGCAGCGCUCUCAACAGCUGUGAAUCUUCUCGCCGGGGUUUUGACUAACUGGGCAUCUGAGUUUCUUUGGGAGAGGAGAUGAUCUUCUAGCAAGAUUCAAACAGUAGCAUAUUGUUUUAAAUAAGCAUCGUAUAGUACAUGUGAGAAAAUACUGUUUGCUUAGAUUGCAGAUGGAAUCUGAUGCAUGUUCUAUAUUUUCUUUAAAAUUCGUAGUAUACUUACAUUAUCACUUUCCUUGCUAGUGAAAUGUACCUUUUCUGUUCUUAAUGAAUAGCUACCAAUUCGUAAUUUGUGCAAGCUUGCUGAUUUCCUUGUUUGGAAGUUCUUUGCUCAACUAGAUAUGAGUUCUAGGCCAGUUCUUCGCAUUUUCACUGACGGCCACAACAAAACCGGUGAAUUAUAGUUUUCCUAGUUGCAUCAUGUAAUUUGUACAGUUCAACAGAAUGAUUUAAACUAUUCAUUGAGUUUAGAACACAUUUCAAGGGGUACCAUGUAAAAAUAAGACUGAUUGGAUGAUACUAAUCCACCUAGAUUCAAAUUUUUUUCAGCUUAUGAAGGCCUCUCUAAACCAGCCCUUUGCAUUGCAGAUAUUGUAUAUUUGUUUCAAAAUAUCUUUUUAAACAGUAGCUUCUCUUAUUCUCUUCUCCAUUUCCUUCUGCUCUUGAUUUGCAGCCAUGUCUUUCUGAAUGGUAAGAUUCUUCCUAUCCUUAAUUUGCUAGAUAUUUCCUUGUUGAGAAAUUGUGAUUCUUUUAGUAUCUGUAUUAGUUUU
This is an RNA transcript of Magnolia sinica, 1256 nucleotides long. It is a transcript of the gene named outer envelope pore protein 16-2, chloroplastic-like, with no coding region annotated. The transcript is spliced from 4 exons. NCBI's taxonomy places the organism in Eukaryota, Viridiplantae, Streptophyta, Magnoliopsida, Magnoliales, Magnoliaceae. The record is from RefSeq and is a predicted model, not a curated record.